This 566-nucleotide ribosomal RNA is filed under the name Gaeumannomyces radicicola. RNAcentral describes it as "eukaryotic LSU rRNA". It matches the Rfam family "Eukaryotic large subunit ribosomal RNA", at positions 60 to 649 of the family's 3401-position model. Lineage: Eukaryota; Fungi; Ascomycota; Sordariomycetes; Magnaporthales; Magnaporthaceae. The record is from RNAcentral.
AGAAACCAACAGGGAUUGCCCUAGUAACGGCGAGUGAAGCGGCAACAGCUCAAAUUUGAAAUCUGGCCCCAGGCCCGAGUUGUAAUUUGCAGAGGAUGCUUUUGGCAAAGCGCGUACCGAGUCCCCUGGAACGGGGCGCCACAGAGGGUGAGAGCCCCGUAUGGUGCGACGCCGAGCCUCUGUAAAGCUCCUUCGACGAGUCGAGUAGUUUGGGAAUGCUGCUCUAAAUGGGAGGUAAAUUUCUUCUAAAGCUAAAUACCGGCCAGAGACCGAUAGCGCACAAGUAGAGUGAUCGAAAGAUGAAAAGCACUUUGAAAAGAGGGUUAAAUAGCACGUGAAAUUGUUGAAAGGGAAGCGCUCGUGACCAGACUUGCGCCGGGCGGAUCAUCCAGCGUUCUCGCUGGUGCACUCCGCCCGGCUCAGGCCAGCAUCGGUUUUCGCCGGGGGACAAAAGCUUCGGGAACGUGGCUCCCUUCGGGGAGUGUUAUAGCCCGUUGCUUAAUACCCCGGCGGGGACCGAGGACCGCGCUUCGGCAAGGAUGCUGGCGUAAUGGUCAUCAGCGACC